AGCAGCCCGUCAAAUUCGGUGCCACUCUCUGUGGUUGGUACUGGCCCAGUUGGCUGCUACAGAAACCUCUGUAGUUCCUGAGCCCCAGCUCUCCCUGACCGAGCACUGGGCACGAGAACAACCUACAGACACUU
Molecule: small nucleolar RNA, 134 nt
Filed under: Tinamus guttatus (white-throated tinamou)
Lineage: Eukaryota; Metazoa; Chordata; Aves; Tinamiformes; Tinamidae
Description: Small nucleolar RNA SNORA5
Rfam family: Small nucleolar RNA SNORA5
About the family: ACA5 is a member of the H/ACA class of snoRNA that guide the sites of modification of uridines to pseudouridines.
Source: Rfam by way of RNAcentral